RNAcentral lists this transfer RNA (82 nucleotides) under Streptomyces tamarix. Its description in RNAcentral is "tRNA-Leu". It matches the Rfam family "tRNA". From Rfam's summary of the family: Transfer RNA (tRNA) molecules are approximately 80 nucleotides in length. Their secondary structure includes four short double-helical elements and three loops (D, anti-codon, and T loops). Further hydrogen bonds mediate the characteristic L-shaped molecular structure. tRNAs have two regions of fundamental functional importance: the anti-codon, which is responsible for specific mRNA codon recognition, and the 3' end, to which the tRNAs corresponding amino acid is attached (by aminoacyl-tRNA synthetases). tRNAs cope with the degeneracy of the genetic code in two manners: having more than one tRNA (with a specific anti-codon) for a particular amino acid; and 'wobble' base-pairing, i.e. permitting non-standard base-pairing at the 3rd anti-codon position. The record is from RNAcentral. Lineage: Bacteria; Bacillati; Actinomycetota; Actinomycetes; Kitasatosporales; Streptomycetaceae.
GGCGGUAUGGCGAAAUUGGUAUACGCAAUAGAUUCAAAAUCUAUGGUCAUAUGGCAUGUAGGUUCGAAUCCUACUACCGCUA